AUGGCGUCCCCGUUGGCGUCGGAUCUCCGGUUCGUCACGCUCAAGGUGGUCGACCAGGAGCAGCGCCUGGUCCGCCGCACCAUCAGGAUGAACGCCCAGCUCCAGAUCGUCAUGGAUGCGUGCUACGAUGAGGCGGGGGACGUCGUCAGAGGCACCGGCUCCUUCUGGUUCGAAAACGUUCGACUGCGCGGCGAGCGCACGCCGGCGUCUUUCAAGCUGCGGGACGGGGACGCCAUCGACUUCUUUGAAACGCAGAUUGGCGGCGGGAUCCCCGCCUAG
Molecule: ribosomal RNA, 279 nt
Filed under: Triticum aestivum (bread wheat)
Lineage: Eukaryota; Viridiplantae; Streptophyta; Magnoliopsida; Poales; Poaceae
Description: partial small subunit ribosomal RNA
Source: RNAcentral